GACGAACGCUGGCGGCGUGCUUAACACAUGCAAGUCGAGCGGUAAGGCCCUUUCGGGGGUACACGAGCGGCGAACGGGUGAGUAACACGUGGGUGACCUGCCCUCAGCUCUGGGGAUAAGCCUGGGAAACCGGGUCUAAUACUGGAUAUGACUCCAUGACGCAUGUUGUGGGGUGGAAAGCCUUGUGCGGCUGAGGAUGGGCCCGCGGCCUAUCAGCUUGUUGGUGGGGUGAUGGCCUACCAAGGCGACGACGGGUAGCCGGCCUGAGAGGGCGACCGGCCACACUGGGACUGAGACACGGCCCAGACUCCUACGGGAGGCAGCAGUGGGGAAUCUUGCGCAAUGGGCGAAAGCCUGACGCAGCGACGCCGCGUGAGGGAUGACGGCC
This 388-nucleotide ribosomal RNA is filed under the name uncultured bacterium. RNAcentral describes it as "bacterial SSU rRNA". It matches the Rfam family "Bacterial small subunit ribosomal RNA", at positions 28 to 416 of the family's 1533-position model. The record is from RNAcentral.